GACGAACGCUGGCGGUGUGCUUAACACAUGCAAGUCGAACGGAAAGGCCCUGCUUUUGUGGGGUGCUCGAGUGGCGAACGGGUGAGUAACACGUGAGUAACCUGCCCUUGACUUUGGGAUAACUUCAGGAAACUGGGGCUAAUACCGGAUAGGAGCUCCUGCUGCAUGGUGGGGGUUGGAAAGUUUCGGCGGUUGGGGAUGGACUCGCGGCUUAUCAGCUUGUUGGUGGGGUAGUGGCUUACCAAGGCUUUGACGGGUAGCCGGCCUGAGAGGGUGACCGGCCACAUUGGGACUGAGAUACGGCCCAGACUCCUACGGGAGGCAGCAGUGGGGAAUAUUGCACAAUGGGCGGAAGCCUGAUGCAGCAACGCCGCGUGCGGGAUGACGGCCUUCGGGUUGUAAACCGCUUUCGCCUGUGACGAAGCGUGAGUGACGGUAAUGGGUAAAGAAGCACCGGCUAACUACGUGCCAGCAGCCGCGGUGAUACGUAGGGUGCGAGCGUUGUCCGGAUUUAUUGGGCGUAAAGGGCUCGUAGGUGGUUGAUCGCGUCGGAAGUGUAAUCUUGGGGCUUAACCCUGAGCGUGCUUUCGAUACGGGUUGACUUGAGGAAGGUAGGGGAGAAUGGAAUUCUUGGUGGAGCGGUGGAAUGCGCAGAUAUCAGGAGGAACACCAGUGGCGAAGGCGGUUCUCUGGGCCUUUCCUGACGCUGAGGAGCGAAAGCGUGGGGAGCGAACAGGCUUAGAUACCCUGGUAGUCCACGCUGUAAACGGUGGGUACUAGGUGUGGGGUCCAUUCCACGGGUUCCGUGCCGUAGCUAACGCUUUAAGUACCCCGCCUGGGGAGUACGGCCGCAAGGCUAAAACUCAAAGGAAUUGACGGGGCCCCGCACAAGCGGCGGAGCAUGCGGAUUAAUUCGAUGCAACGCGUAGAACCUUACCUGGGUUUGACAUGGAUCGGGAGUGCUCAGAGAUGGGUGUGCCUCUUUUGGGGUCGGUUCACAGGUGGUGCAUGGCUGUCGUCAGCUCGUGUCGUGAGAUGUUGGGUUAAGUCCCGCAACGAGCGCAACCCUUGUUCACUGUUGCCAGCACGUUAUGGUGGGGACUCAGUGGAGACCGCCGGGGUCAACUCGGAGGAAGGUGGGGAUGACGUCAAGUCAUCAUGCCCCUUAUGUCCAGGGCUUCACGCAUGCUACAAUGGCUGGUACAGAGAGUGGCGAGUCUGUGAGGGUGAGCGAAUCUCGGAAAGCCGGUCUCAGUUCGGAUUGGGGUCUGCAACUCGACCUCAUGAAGUCGGAGUCGCUAGUAAUCGCAGAUCAGCAACGCUGCGGUGAAUACGUUCCCGGG
This 1343-nucleotide ribosomal RNA is filed under the name uncultured bacterium. Its description in RNAcentral is "16S ribosomal RNA". It matches the Rfam family "Bacterial small subunit ribosomal RNA", at positions 28 to 1378 of the family's 1533-position model. The record is from RNAcentral.